UACGUAGGGUGCAAGCGUUAUCCGGAAUUAUUGGGCGUAAAGAGCUCGUAGGUGGUUUGUCGCGUUGUUCGUGAAAACUCACAGCUCAACUGUGGGCGUGCGGGCGAUACGGGCAGACUGGAGUACUGCAGGGGAGACUGGAAUUCCUGGUGUAGCGGUGGAAUGCGCAGAUAUCAGGAGGAACAGCCGGUGGCGAAGGCGGGCUCUGGGCAGUAACUGACGUGGAGGAGCGAAAGCGUGGGGAGCGAACAGGAUUAGAUCCCUAGU
RNAcentral lists this ribosomal RNA (267 nucleotides) under uncultured bacterium. Its description in RNAcentral is "partial 16S ribosomal RNA". It matches the Rfam family "Bacterial small subunit ribosomal RNA", at positions 524 to 791 of the family's 1533-position model. The record is from RNAcentral.